This 482-nucleotide ribosomal RNA is filed under the name uncultured bacterium. Its description in RNAcentral is "bacterial SSU rRNA". It matches the Rfam family "Bacterial small subunit ribosomal RNA", at positions 19 to 518 of the family's 1533-position model. The record is from RNAcentral.
AUGGCUCAGGAUGAACGCUGGCGGCGUGCCUAACACAUGCAAGUCGAACGAAGAAAUUGUAGCAAUACGGUUCUUAGUGGCGGACGGGUGAGUAACACGUAGGUGACCUGCCCCGAAGUGUGGAAUAACAGUCCGAAAGGAUUGCUAAUACCGCAUGUGGUCUGUGAGGUUAGAGUCUUGCAGACUAAAGCAGUAAUGUGCUUCGGGAGGGGCCUGCGCCCCAUCAGCUAGUUGGUAGGGUAAUGGCCUACCAAGGCAACAACGGUAGGGGGCCUGAGAGGGUGACCCCCACAUUGGCACUGACACACGGGCCAAACUCCUACGGGAGGCAGCAGUGAGGAAUAUUGCUCAAUGGGCGAAAGCCUGAAGCAGCAACGCCGCGUGCGCGAUGAAGGCCUUCGGGUCGUAAAGCGCUUUUGAGAGGGACGAGAUAGGACGGUACCUCUGGAAUAAGUCACGGCUAACUACGUGCCAGCAGCAGC